GACGAACCCUUUCGGCGUGCUUAACACAUGCAAGUCGAACGGAAAGGCCCUGCUUUUGUGGGGUGCUCGAGUGGCGAACGGGUGAGUAACACGUGAGUAACCUGCCCUUGACUUUGGGAUAACUUCAGGAAACUGGGGCUAAUACCGGAUAGGAGCUCCUGCUGCAUGGUGGGGGUUGGAAAGUUUCGGCGGUUGGGGAUGGACUCGCGGCUUAUCAGCUUGUUGGUGGGGUAGUGGCUUACCAAGGCUUUGACGGGUAGCCGGCCUGAGAGGGUGACCGGCCACAUUGGGACUGAGAUACGGCCCAGACUCCUACGGGAGGCAGCAGUGGGGAAUAUUGCACAAUGGGCGGAAGCCUGAUGCAGCAACGCCGCGUGCGGGAUGACGGCCUUCGGGUUGUAAACCGCUUUCGCCUGUGACGAAGCGUGAGUGACGGUAAUGGGUAAAGAAGCACCGGCUAACUACGUGCCAGCAGCCGCGGUGAUACGUAGGGUGCGAGCGUUGUCCGGAUUUAUUGGGCGUAAAGGGCUCGUAGGUGGUUGAUCGCGUCGGAAGUGUAAUCUUGGGGCUUAACCCUGAGCGUGCUUUCGAUACGGGUUGACUUGAGGAAGGUAGGGGAGAAUGGAAUUCCUGGUGGAGCGGUGGAAUGCGCAGAUAUCAGGAGGAACACCAGUGGCGAAGGCGGUUCUCUGGGCCUUUCCUGACGCUGAGGAGCGAAAGCGUGGGGAGCGAACAGGCUUAGAUACCCUGGUAGUCCACGCUGUAAACGGUGGGUACUAGGUGUGGGGUCCAUUCCACGGGUUCCGUGCCGUAGCUAACGCUUUAAGUACCCCGCCUGGGGAGUACGGCCGCAAGGCUAAAACUCAAAGGAAUUGACGGGGCCCCGCACAAGCGGCGGAGCAUGCGGAUUAAUUCGAUGCAACGCGUAGAACCUUACCUGGGUUUGACAUGGAUCGGGAGUGCUCAGAGAUGGGUGUGCCUCUUUUGGGGUCGGUUCACAGGUGGUGCAUGGCUGUCGUCAGCUCGUGUCGUGAGAUGUUGGGUUAAGUCCCGCAACGAGCGCAACCCUUGUUCACUGUUGCCAGCACGUUAUGGUGGGGACUCAGUGGAGACCGCCGGGGUCAACUCGGAGGAAGGUGGGGAUGACGUCAAGUCAUCAUGCCCCUUAUGUCCAGGGCUUCACGCAUGCUACAAUGGCUGGUACAGAGAGUGGCGAGCCUGUGAGGGUGAGCGAAUCUCGGAAAGUCGGUCUCAGUUCGGAUUGGGGUCUGCAACUCGACCUCAUGAAGUCGGAGUCGCUAGUAAUCGCAGAUCAGCAACGCUGCGGUGAAUACGUUCCCGGGGCC
This 1346-nucleotide ribosomal RNA is filed under the name uncultured bacterium. RNAcentral describes it as "bacterial SSU rRNA". It matches the Rfam family "Bacterial small subunit ribosomal RNA", at positions 28 to 1381 of the family's 1533-position model. The record is from RNAcentral.